GGCGAGUGAAGCGGCAACAGCUCAAAUUUGAAAUCUGGCCCUCUCCGAGUUGUAAUUUGGAGAGAUGCUUCGGGUGGGCGCCGUCUAAGUUCCUUGGAACAGGACGUCACAGAGGGUGAGAAUCCCGUACGUGCCCGGUGCCCCUAUGUGAAGCUCUUUCGACGAGUCGAGUUGUUUGGGAAUGCAGCUCAAAAUGGGUGGUAAAUUUCACUAAAGCUAAAUACUGGCCAGAGACCGAUAGCGCACAAGUAGAGUGAUCGAAAGAUGAAAAGCACUUUGGAAAGAGAGUUAAACAGUACGUGAAAUUGUUGAAAGGAAGCGCUUGCAACCAGACUUGCGCGCGGUCGACAUCCGGUGUCGCACCUCCAUCGGGCCCGCGCAGGCCAGCAUCGGCUGGGUGGCUGACAAGGCCCUCGGAAUGUGGCUCCUCGGGAGUGUAUAGCCCGAGGCGCAAUGCAGCCCACCUGGACCGAGGACCGCGCUUCCGCAGGAUGCUGGCGUAAUGGUUGCAAGCGACCCGUCUUGAAACACGGACCAAGGAGUCUAACAUCUAUGCGAGUGUUUGGGUGUCAAACCCAUACGCGCAAUGAAAGUGAACGGAGGUGAGAACCUGGGCGCAUCAUCGACCGAUCCUGAUGUCGGAUGGAUUUGAGUAAGAGCAUAGCUGUUGGGACCCGAAAGAUGGUGAACUAUGCCUGAAUA
RNAcentral lists this ribosomal RNA (702 nucleotides) under uncultured Archaeorhizomycetes. RNAcentral's name for it is "eukaryotic LSU rRNA". It matches the Rfam family "Eukaryotic large subunit ribosomal RNA", at positions 88 to 843 of the family's 3401-position model. Lineage: Eukaryota; Fungi; Ascomycota; Archaeorhizomycetes. The record is from RNAcentral.